This 1490-nucleotide ribosomal RNA is filed under the name uncultured bacterium. RNAcentral describes it as "bacterial SSU rRNA". It matches the Rfam family "Bacterial small subunit ribosomal RNA". The record is from RNAcentral.
GAGAGUUUGAUCCUGGCUAGGAUGAACGCUAGCUACAGGCUUAACACAUGCAAGUCGAGGGGCAGCAUGGUCUUAGCUUGCUAAGGCCGAUGGCGACCGGCGCACGGGUGAGUAACACGUAUCCAACCUGCCGUCUACUCUUGGACAGCCUUCUGAAAGGAAGAUUAAUACAAGAUGGCAUCAUGAGUCCGCAUGUUCACAUGAUUAAAGGUAUUCCGGUAGACGAUGGGGAUGCGUUCCAUUAGAUAGUAGGCGGGGUAACGGCCCACCUAGUCUUCGAUGGAUAGGGGUUCUGAGAGGAAGGUCCCCCACAUUGGAACUGAGACACGGUCCAAACUCCUACGGGAGGCAGCAGUGAGGAAUAUUGGUCAAUGGGCGAGAGCCUGAACCAGCCAAGUAGCGUGAAGGAUGACUGCCCUAUGGGUUGUAAACUUCUUUUAUAAAGGAAUAAAGUCGGGUAUGGAUACCCGUUUGCAUGUACUUUAUGAAUAAGGAUCGGCUAACUCCGUGCCAGCAGCCGCGGUAAUACGGAGGAUCCGAGCGUUAUCCGGAUUUAUUGGGUUUAAAGGGAGCGUAGAUGGAUGUUUAAGUCAGUUGUGAAAGUUUGCGGCUCAACCGUAAAAUUGCAGUUGAUACUGGAUAUCUUGAGUGCAGUUGAGGCAGGCGGAAUUCGUGGUGUAGCGGUGAAAUGCUUAGAUAUCACGAAGAACUCCGAUUGCGAAGGCAGCCUGCUAAGCUGCAACUGACAUUGAGGCUCGAAAGUGUGGGUAUCAAACAGGAUUAGAUACCCUGGUAGUCCACACGGUAAACGAUGAAUACUCGCUGUUUGCGAUAUACUGCAAGCGGCCAAGCGAAAGCGUUAAGUAUUCCACCUGGGGAGUACGCCGGCAACGGUGAAACUCAAAGGAAUUGACGGGGGCCCGCACAAGCGGAGGAACAUGUGGUUUAAUUCGAUGAUACGCGAGGAACCUUACCCGGGCUUAAAUUGCAGAUGAAUUACGGUGAGAGCCGUAAGCCGCAAGGCAUCUGUGAAGGUGCUGCAUGGUUGUCGUCAGCUCGUGCCGUGAGGUGUCGGCUUAAGUGCCAUAACGAGCGCAACCCUUGUUGUCAGUUACUAACAGGUUCUGCUGAGGACUCUGACAAGACUGCCAUCGUAAGAUGUGAGGAAGGUGGGGAUGACGUCAAAUCAGCACGGCCCUUACGUCCGGGGCUACACACGUGUUACAAUGGGGGGUACAGAGGGCCGCUACCACGCGAGUGGAUGCCAAUCCCAAAAACCUCUCUCAGUUCGGACUGGAGUCUGCAACCCGACUCCACGAAGCUGGAUUCGCUAGUAAUCGCGCAUCAGCCACGGCGCGGUGAAUACGUUCCCGGGCCUUGUACACACCGCCCGUCAAGCCAUGGGAGCCGGGGGUACCUGAAGUGCGUAACCGCGAGGAGCGCCCUAGGGUAAAACUGGUGACUGGGGCUAAGUCGUAACAAGGUAGCCA